GUGAAUGGUUUUGGUAUUGAUUGCAUUUGUUAGUUGUAAAAUGCAAUGAUAGACAGUCACAUACAUCAAAACAGAUGGUUCCUCCUAAGAGAAUCUGUACAGUUGUUAGGUUUUUUGUUUUAGUUUGUUUGUU
Molecule: non-coding RNA, 133 nt
Organism: Mastomys coucha (southern multimammate mouse)
Lineage: Eukaryota; Metazoa; Chordata; Mammalia; Rodentia; Muridae
Source: RefSeq, a predicted model, not a curated record